This 496-nucleotide ribosomal RNA is filed under the name uncultured bacterium. RNAcentral's name for it is "partial 16S ribosomal RNA". It matches the Rfam family "Bacterial small subunit ribosomal RNA", at positions 29 to 507 of the family's 1533-position model. The record is from RNAcentral.
AUGAACGCUGGCGGCGUGCCUAAUACCUGCCAGUCGAGCGAACAGAUGAGGAGCUUGCUCCUCUGACGUUAGCGGCGGACGGGUGAGUAACACGUGGAUAACCUACCUAUAAGACUGGGAUAACUUCGGGAAACCGGAGCUAAUACCGGAUAAUAUAUUGAACCGCAUGGUCCAAUAGUGAAAGACGGUUUUGCUGUCACUUAUAGAUGGAUCCGCGCCGCAUUAGCUAGUUGGUAAGGUAACGGCUUACCAAGGCAACGAUGCGUAGCCGACCUGAGAGGGUGAUCGGCCACACUGGAACUGAGACACGGUCCAGACUCCUACGGGAGGCAGCAGUAGGGAAUCUUCCGCAAUGGGCGAAAGCCUGACGGAGCAACGCCGCGUGAGUGAUGAAGGUCUUCGGAUCGUAAAACUCUGUUAUUAGGGAAGAACAAAUGUGUAAGUAACUAUGCACGUCUUGACGGUACCUAAUCAGAAAGCCACGGCUAACUACGUG